GAAUAUAUACCUAUAACGUUACAAGAAUAACCUCGCGUAAGCAACAGAACCAUCGUUUCUCUCCUUUUUAACGAAAUAAAUUCAAUAAUAGUGGAUUUUACCAAAAAAAAAAUUGAAUAAAUAAAUCUAUUAAAGUAGGUAAAUUACGAAAUUUUAAAAACAAUUAUUGAAUUAGAAGACAGUUGGAAUAGGCAAGGUUGAAAUAAACAGAAAAAUUUGGUUAUGAUAUUUAAAGCAUCAUUAUACAUUUUGGAUGGAUGG
This is a non-coding RNA of Schizosaccharomyces pombe (fission yeast), 261 nucleotides long. The record is from the annotation of a GenBank genome assembly. Lineage: Eukaryota; Fungi; Ascomycota; Schizosaccharomycetes; Schizosaccharomycetales; Schizosaccharomycetaceae.